RNAcentral lists this transfer RNA (72 nucleotides) under Marmota monax (woodchuck). Its description in RNAcentral is "tRNA.Ala". It matches the Rfam family "tRNA". Rfam says of the family: Transfer RNA (tRNA) molecules are approximately 80 nucleotides in length. Their secondary structure includes four short double-helical elements and three loops (D, anti-codon, and T loops). Further hydrogen bonds mediate the characteristic L-shaped molecular structure. tRNAs have two regions of fundamental functional importance: the anti-codon, which is responsible for specific mRNA codon recognition, and the 3' end, to which the tRNAs corresponding amino acid is attached (by aminoacyl-tRNA synthetases). tRNAs cope with the degeneracy of the genetic code in two manners: having more than one tRNA (with a specific anti-codon) for a particular amino acid; and 'wobble' base-pairing, i.e. permitting non-standard base-pairing at the 3rd anti-codon position. Lineage: Eukaryota; Metazoa; Chordata; Mammalia; Rodentia; Sciuridae. The record is from RNAcentral.
UGGGGUUGUAGUUCAGUGGUAGAACGCUUGCCUCGCAUGCAUGAGGCCUCGGUUCAAUCCUCAGCACCACAA